UUCGGUCGGGAACUCAAAGGAGACUGCCAGUGAUAAACUGGAGGAAGGUGGGGAUGACGUCAAGUCAUCAUGGCCCUUACGACCAGGGCUACACACGUGCUACAAUGGCGCAUACAAAGAGAAGCGACCUCGCGAGAGCAAGCGGACCUCAUAAAGUGCGUCGUAGUCCGGAUUGGAGUCUGCAACUCGACUCCAUGAAGUCGGAAUCGCUAGUAAUCGUGGAUCAGAAUGCCACGGUGAAUACGUUCCCGGGCCUUGUACACACCGCCCGUCACACCAUGGGAGUGGGUUGUAAAAGAAGUAGGUAGCUUAACCUUCGGGAGGGCGCUUACCACUUUGUGAUUCAUGACUGGGGUGAAGUCGUAACAAGGUAACCGUAGGGGAACCUGCGGUUGGAUCACCUCCUUA
Molecule: ribosomal RNA, 408 nt
Filed under: Salmonella enterica
Lineage: Bacteria; Pseudomonadati; Pseudomonadota; Gammaproteobacteria; Enterobacterales; Enterobacteriaceae
Description: bacterial SSU rRNA
Rfam family: Bacterial small subunit ribosomal RNA
Source: RNAcentral